Molecule: ribosomal RNA, 509 nt
Filed under: uncultured bacterium
Lineage: Bacteria
Description: partial 16S ribosomal RNA
Rfam family: Bacterial small subunit ribosomal RNA
Source: RNAcentral
ACGAACGCUGGCGGCGUGCUUAACACAUGCAAGUCGAACGAAGAGCGCCGGAAGCUUGCUUCUAUCAAUCUUAGUGGCGAACGGGUGAGUAACGCGUAAUCAACCUGCCCUUCAGAGGGGGACAACAGUUGGAAACGACUGCUAAUACCGCAUACGAUCUAACCUCGGCAUCGAGGAUAGAUGAAAGGUGGCCUCUACAUGUAAGCUAUCACUGAAGGAGGGGAUUGCGUCUGAUUAGCUAGUUGGAGGGGUAACGGCCCACCAAGGCGAUGAUCAGUAGCCGGUCUGAGAGGAUGAACGGCCACAUUGGGACUGAGACACGGCCCAGACUCCUACGGGAGGCAGCAGUGGGGAAUCUUCCGCAAUGGACGAAAGUCUGACGGAGCAACGCCGCGUGAGUGAUGACGGCCUUCGGGUUGUAAAGCUCUGUUAAUCGGGACGAAAGGCCUUCUUGCGAAUAGUGAGAAGGAUUGACGGUACCGGAAUAGAAAGCCACGGCUAACUACGUG